GAUGAACGCUGGCGGCGUGCCUAAUACAUGCAAGUCGAGCGAACAGAUGAGGAGCUUGCUCCUCUGACGUUAGCGGCGGACGGGUGAGUAACACGUGGAUAACCUACCUAUAAGACUGGGAUAACUUCGGGAAACCGGAGCUAAUACCGGAUAAUAUAUUGAACCGCAUGGUUCAAUAGUGAAAGACGGUUUUGCUGUCACUUAUAGAUGGUUCCGCGCCGCAUUAGCUAGUUGGUAAGGUAACGGCUUACCAAGGCAACGAUGCGUAGCCGACCUGAGAGGGUGAUCGGCCACACUGGAACUGAGACACGGUCCAGACUCCUACGGGAGGCAGCAGUGGGGAAUCUUCCGCAAUGGGCGAAAGCCUGACGGAGCAACGCCGCGUGAGUGAUGAAGGUCUUCGGAUCGUAAAACUCUGUUAUUGGGGAAGAACAAAUGUGUAAGUAACUAUGCACGUCUUGACGGUACCUAAUCAGAAAGCCACGGCUAACUACGUG
RNAcentral lists this ribosomal RNA (497 nucleotides) under uncultured bacterium. RNAcentral's name for it is "partial 16S ribosomal RNA". It matches the Rfam family "Bacterial small subunit ribosomal RNA", at positions 28 to 507 of the family's 1533-position model. The record is from RNAcentral.